UUAUUCCUACUAAACUAGCUACCAAUCUCUCCAUUAGCCUAGCAGAUACGGCAACCAGAAAACAGGGCUUUGUUGUCGUGGAAACAAACUUUCGGUUGUACGCAUAUUCAACAUCUAAAUUGCAUGUUGAGAUCUUGCGCUUGUUUGCAAGGGUCGAAUACCAGCUACCUAACCUUAUUGUUGGCGCU
Salvia hispanica is the source of this 188-nucleotide non-coding RNA. The record is from RefSeq and is a predicted model, not a curated record. Lineage: Eukaryota; Viridiplantae; Streptophyta; Magnoliopsida; Lamiales; Lamiaceae.